RNAcentral lists this ribosomal RNA (253 nucleotides) under uncultured bacterium. RNAcentral's name for it is "partial 16S ribosomal RNA". It matches the Rfam family "Bacterial small subunit ribosomal RNA", at positions 524 to 776 of the family's 1533-position model. The record is from RNAcentral.
UACAGAGGAUGCAAGCGUUAUCCGGAAUGAUUGGGCGUAAAGCGUCUGUAGGUGGCUUUUUAAGUCCGCCGUCAAAUCCCAGGGCUCAACUCUGGACAGGCGGUGGAAACUACCAAGCUGGAGUACGGUAGGGGCAGAGGGAAUUUCCGGUGGAGCGGUGAAAUGCGUAGAGAUCGGAAGGAACGCCCGUGGCGAACGCGAGCUCCUGGACGUUUUCUGACGCUGAGACGCGAAAGCCAGGGGAGCGAACGGG